AACUAUUGAAUGUGGAAUUAAACAAUAACAGUAAAUAAGAUACAAAACACAAGAUCUCGAAGAAACUAUCUUCUUUAUUGAAUAUUAUGAAGAUUACAAGAAUCUCUGCCUCACAAUACUCUCUAGACAAGCUAAGCCCUAGUUGCCUCUCCUAUGUUUUGGCCUUGGCCAAAACAUCUUUUUAUAAACCUUGGACGACUUCGAAUCAUACAAGGAAACCUAUUCCCUAUUCACCCGGAAUAAGGAAAUGUGUCUUUAGAACUUUUCAGCUCGACCCCAGCAAGGUGUUGCGCCCUGGACUCGCAACGUCGUCGCUUCGCGACGACCAAGUCGUAGGGUGGCAAAUGUCUAUCCUCUAGACACUAAUCUCAAGGAUCAUUAAGCUCCUAAUAGGAUACACCUGUAUCAACAAGGAUAAAGAAAUAAACUAAUUUAAUAAGGGUAGUGGUAUAUGACCUCUUAAAAGGGUUCUACCAAGAAUUGAAACACAUGAUGUGUCAUAAAAGGUUUCUCUCCUGAUGGCUACUUGACUUCUAGAAGGGGUUUCCAGUUUAUCGGAUUUAAUCCAUCAUCCAAGAUCGUUUGAUACAACCAAACUGCAUCUGAAUCAACCUCUUGGAUUACUCAAACAGAUUCAAAUCAAUAAAUUAUGACUCAUUAGGUUUGGAUCAACCACACUCCAAUCUCAUAUUGACCCGAUCAAAAAAUUAUUCACAUUUUUUUGCAUAAUUUUAUUAAUUUCCUCUGGACAAACAUGGACACAAAUAAGAUUUACUUAUAUUCAUAUUAAACUAUAUCGGAUUCGGAAAAUAGCUUUUUGUUAUGAAUGAGAUUGGAUUAACAUCAUCUACAAUCCUUAAUAAUUAGCUUCAAUUCCAACAAGAAAAUAUCUUAUGGACCAGACUUGGAUAAUUCUGAAUCUGACUCGAAACUGAUUUAUUGGUAAAGCCUAUGUAAAGCAUUUCCACUUCAAUGUGUAUAUUAUUAUUUUAGGUUGUAUUCUUGUGUUUUUACUUUUUAAGUUUGGAGAACUAUAGGGAAUCAGGCGAAUGAGCUUGUGGCUCAGCAGUAGUAUCCCUCUCACAAAGUGAAGAGGUUGUGGGUUCGAAACACGUCAGAAGCUGAUGGUUUGAUAAAAAAAAAAUUCCUCACAUAAUUUAAAAAGGGUAGGCCUCGCUUGCGAAUCAAAAAAUAACUAUAAGGAAUCGAGAUUCCUUUAAAAGGAUAAAUUUUAGGGAAAAAAUGAGAAGAGAGAUUCAUAGAGAUUAUUUUACAGAUUAAACGAAAGUAUAUUCCUUUUGCAUAGGAAAGCGAUUCAUUUUUAAAGUUAAUUGACCUUGAAAAUAAGCACUACUUAAAUUCAAAAUUUCUCUUGUAUAUGCAUGAUGGCUAAAAGUGAUUAACUUACCUUUCUCUGCCUUUCAUAUUCAUUAUGCCAAGACUUUGGUUCCUAUAGGCACUAAGCAAAACAGACGCAUUUGGCUAAGACCUGCACGAUGCACAAACUCCAUAAUGUUGGUGUGAAUAAAUAAAACUAACAUAUAAAACAAGGGAGCAAAAACAUGGUAAAUAAGAUGUAUUAUUUGGAUAGUUGUUGAACCAACCAACACAAUUUAGUGUUAAAAGGGAAAGAAAGUGUUGAUGUCACUCGAUCUAUAAUCGUAUUUAUAUAGUUGGAAAUAAUGUAAGUAGCUUUCGCUAAAUACUUAUUAUACACAACAUAGGUUGAUGAAGACCACAAAUCAAACAGUUUAUAAAAACAAACAUAGUACAAGAUAGAGUUGUUUUUCCAAAUACAAUAACUUAUAAUUAAACAAGAACAUCUACUGAUCAUUUUUUUCAGGUAAUGUAUAACAAUUGGACAUGUUUGUUUAAGGGGGAGUGUUGAAAGUAAGAGUAUUGUAGGGUUUUGGUGUGUAGUUUAGUCCCAUAUAGCUUAGAUAUAAAUACCAUUACGUCCAACAACGACUCACACUCACAGGUCUAAUUGUAUAUUGGGUUUGGGUUUGUAAUUUGUACAGAGACCAACCCUCAGCCCAUAAGGACAAGUCCAGCCCUCAUUCCCUCACUUUUUAUCACUAGGACUACUGGUGGUCAGUAAGUCAGCAACUAGCCGAAGUCACUUUACUUGGGCCACGCGUGGAUGGUAACAAUAGUGUUUGGAUCGGACAUGGUAGACUCAUGAUUUGUACUACUUGUGGGAGCACUAUUUAAAAAAAAAAAAAAAAAAAAAAAAAAAAGACCAGACUUGAUUGAUGUAUUCGGGGACCAUGCGGCCCAUUGUAAGCAUUACCCCGGCUUCAAGUACAGGCAUGACCACGUUAGAGAUAUCUUGUGUGAUGUGUUCUGGCGGGCUGGAGUACAGGUUAAGAAGGAGGCUCCUGUUAACUUUCUUACUGAUCCUAAGGAAGGAAGAUCGACAUUACGUCCUGCUGAUAUUCUGGUCUACAACUGGUCUGAAGGUAAACAUGCGUGUGUUGAUGUUACAGGGGCGUCUCCGAUGGUUGGGCUGGGUGCUAGGAUUUUUGAGGUGGGGCUAGCAGCUAGCAAUGCAGCAGCAGCAAAAGUGGAGAAACAUGACGGAGCUUAUAGGGCUAACCAACAUAGUUUCAUCCCCUUUGCAUUUGAUAUAUUUGGAUUGCUAAGCUUAGAAGCAGUUGAGCUCCUCAGGAGAGUGCAGAAGGUAAUGGAUAGCAACGUGAUGACUGCGGGUUCGAACGAAUAUGUAUUUAGGAGAAUCGGGUUUGCUAUCCAGAAAGAACUUGCCGCGCAGUUUGUAGCGCGUUUGUCCUCUACUUUUGUGUAAUUCGUUUAGCUUAUCAAUAAAAUUUGUUUUUAUUAAAAAAAAAAAAAAAAAAAAAAAUCAAAGCGGGUUUGGCAUGUACCCCUAACUGUGCAUUGAAAAAAUGAGGGGAGAGGAGGGGCAUAAAGACUAACCCCUUAAUACAAACAAUGGCCCAAAGGCCUGGAAGGAAGCCCAACAAAACAUGCUUCAAACCAAGGCCCAAAGCCUGCAAAGAACCUAUCUAUAGUCUAGGCUAGCUAGACCUGAUGGAUCAGAGGAGUGGACUUGCUAAAGUAGCCUUCGACCAAGUUAAUAGAAGAUGAAGUGCCAACCCCACUAACGAGAAACUUGAACAAUGCAGUAGCAUUAAAGCAACCAUCUGCAGCAGCAAAAAUGGCAUCCAACUCUUCAACUUCUUUCUCUUAUUCCUCCUCUUCUGCAGCAAACAACAAUAGUGAGGUCCGCAAUGUCCCAAUCUCAGAGAGGAUGAAAGCAGCGAUCAUGAGAUCUCUAUGUACAGUUCACUUUGACGACUUCACAAGCUUCCAUGAAGGAGUUCAAGAAUUUGGUGCUAAGAUAAACAACGAAUGGGAUGGCCUGCAUACUCAUUUAAUAGUUUUCUUCCCCCCAACACCAAAGAGAGUUGGAGGGAAGAAUUUGUUUAACUUAAGGAGCUGGCUUGAUUAUGGAUUGGGAGGAAAAGUCAAAUCUUUGUGCAAUCCAUGGGUGGAUUAUGGUAUUUCAAGGAUCAAGACUUGUGAGGAAUGCAAAAAUGCUUCUAAGUAUGUUCCUCGUCCAUCAUCAGAUGAGAUUAUAGAGAUAAGCAAUGAUGAGGAGGAGGGGAAUGGCAUUGAAGAGGAUGAGGGUGAAGAAGAUGAAGGAUUUGAAAGGACUGGGGAUGAAACUGAGGAGGAAGAGACAGAACAAGAGGAAAGCUUGACACUUGCUGAGGGAUACCAAACUGAGGAGAGCAUGCAUACAGAUGAGAAGCACAUAGCAGUAUGUGGACCAUUUGGGGGAGACUCUGAAAGUGAUGCUGCAAGGGGGAGCUCAGGGAAUGGAGAUCAAGAGGAGGAGAGCAGCCCCAGUGGUGAUUCCUCCAAUUAAGUUAAGGAAAUUUUGAGAAUUGUUGUGAAUCCCUAAGAGGCUGGAAUUUCCCAAUUAGGUAUUAUGUCAGAUAUUUGGAAUGUUGAACUUAUCUCCUGAGAGUAGUUGUUUUAGGACUUUGUUUGUGUUUGGAUUUGCAGCACCAUCUGCAUGUAGCUUUAAACCUAAACUUGUUAAGUAAUCAGCUACUUUGUUGCCCUCUUUGAAUGUAUGAAUAAUAUGUGUGUUGAGACCAUCUGCUAUCUCCCAAAUCUACCUCAACGUUAACAAAACUCUGAGGUGUCAUGGGACUGAUAAUUUCUUUGUUAACUAAAGUGUCACCAGCUUAGAAUCAGUGGUGAUUUGAACAUUAGUGAAACCUAGGUUUCUGCAUAGGACAAGGCCAUUGACCUGACCUGUGACUUACAUCAUUAAUGUUGAAUUAUUUAGUGUUCGUGCUCAAUAGCCCAACCAUUCCAUCUCACAUUCACUCUAUGCCUCACAAGUUGUAUAAGACAUAGGUUUGAUGCACCUACACUGGCAUGCUAAAGGAACGUCAAUAAUCAUGACUAUUCUCAACAAAAAAAAUCAUGAAUAAGGCACCUGUUAGACACAUGAAGACAUAUCCACAGCACUAGUUCUUACAAAAUAGCAAAGUUAUGUAACAGCCUGCUCUACUUUACCACCUAAACAUAAAUUUGAUUCUUGACAUAAUGAAAAGUGUCUUGUGGAGAUUUUCUUCUAUGUUGUUAAACGUGGCAUACCUUGUACCUACCACUACUUUCCAAGUUUCUAAAAGUGUCUUAUGAUUAAAUUUCCAAGUUUCUAAAAGUGUCUUAUGAUUAAAUCUUUACAGGAUUAUUUUUAAACUUUUGGUAAAGGACAAUACAAAGUGCCUCACGCAUCCCCAUCUUCGACUAAAAGACCAUGUGGGAGCUUCGUUGGAUGGAUAUUUACUACUACUAACACAAAAGGCGAUUUAGAUUGGUACCGAGGGUAUCUCAUCAUUUUUACAAUAUUUUGUAGGAUAUGACCCUUUUUGCCUCGCAAUGCGCAUUUUAUCAGUUAGAUGUCAUUGUAUACCUCAAAGAGUCUUGACAUAUAUAACAAUAAAACAUCAUUAAAAGGUAAUAAGUUCAUCCUGGGAAAAUUGGCUCAUGCAAAAGAAAAACGUCUAUAAUAACAACACAAUUACAAUUUUUAUCCCAAUAAAUUUCAUAUAUUAACUACAUACGUUAAAAAAUGCAUACCAUACUUAAAAGAAAAAAAAAUCACGCUAAAUAGGGAACAAAUUAAUCAGAAAAUCUCGUGAUUUUGUUAAAUAUUAACAAUUUUAGAUGAUGCCAACAACUCAUUUAAAAUCUUUUUCGAGAUUCUAUAUAUACCCCCAAGUGGUGAAUACAUCUGAUCACAAAAUCACAUAGCUCUUCUUUAACCAUGGUUUGGGGAAAGGUGAAACUGGCAUACAUUCAUAACAAUGCUUCAAGGAGAAAGAGUUACGCAAAGAAUGAAUGGUUUUAAGAAGAUGUUAACUGAACUUAUCACCCUACGUGGAUUGAUGAUGGCUUGUGGUAUCAUCUAUGGUCAAACUCCUGAAAUUGGGCACUACCUAGAUGAUGCUAGUCAAGUUAUGAGUUAGACCUUCAGUCAAUAAGGAGCAACAAAAGAAGCUGGUGUCUAUAGAAGAUUUCCUCAUGAAGAGGGUUAAAAAAAAAUGAAAAAUGAACUGAUGAUAGAAAUUGAAGCAAUUCGAUGUCAUGAGAAUACGAGAUGCACACUCUUAUGUAUAAGUUCUUGAAGGAAGGAUCUGAAGCCCUACAUGGUAUUAGUCGUCCAAGAAAAGAUGGAGACUCUAUGUAAUAAUAAUUAGUUUCGCAUUCACAAUUUUGUAAUUGUUUUUUGUCAUAUAAUAUGAGGCUAGGUAGUACCUUGCUCUCAAACCUUCAUUGGACCAAUUUUGAAGGAAAGACUUUCCCAGUAUCUACUCCAGAUUUGGAUUCUGCUUCAAAUUUAUUGGUAGUAAUUUGUGUUUAGCUUAUUUUUAACUAUUGACAUUAUUUAAAUAUCAAACAUCGAAAAAUCAAGAUAAGAAAACUAAAAAGGAUACACGGGAACUAAAUAUAGAGGGGCAAGAGACAAUGUGAACAACACACCCACUAUGCAUGUAUCAAGGUUAGUAUAGCGUUUCGUGAUUGGAGUGAAUAAGUAUACAGAUGUAAACUAACUUACUAUUGAUCGUAUAUGGUAAAAAAAACUUGAAGCACCUGAUGUGUAAGAAAAGAAAGUCUUCUCGCAAUGGCGAGUUGGCUUCUAGAAAGGGAUUCCUGUUUAUCAGAUUUGAUCCAUCAUCCAAUCUGAAUUGAUAAAACCAAAUGCAUUUGAAUCAACAUAUUGGAAUGUUGAAUCAGCUUCAGAUCAAUAAAUUAUGACUCAAAAGUUUUGGAUUGACCACACUCCAAUCUCAUAAUGAAUCGAUAUAUGUGUGUCUUUGAUGCUUGAAAUGAUCAACUCAAAAUAAUGGCAUUGUUUUUGCAUCCGAUCAUAGCAUAUAUUCGUAUGGCUCUAUGAGGUUAUAAAGACUCAAAAUAAUGGCAUUGUUCUUGCAUCCGAUCAUAGAAUAUAUUCGUAUGGCUCUAUGAGGUUAUAGAGACUCAAAAUAAUGGCAAUGUUCUUGCAUCCGAUCAUAGAAUAUAUUCGUAUGGCUAUAUGAGGUUAUAGAGACUCAAAAUAAUGGCAUUGUUCUUGCAUCCGAUCAUAGCAUAUAUUCGUAUGGCUCUAUGAGGUUAUAGAGACACAUAUGCAUAUAGAGAAAGAAUGGUUGUAAGGCGGUCGUAUUAACAAAUUUACUUAAUAAAACAUGUUUUUUAAUCAUAAACUUGUUGUUUCACGAAAUAAUUGAACUAACAAAUUGUGGUAACCAAUGCAGGAAAAAUAAACACGACAAAAGUAAAUUUGAAGCCCAGCUUGAAAAUCAAUUUAUUUAAAGCCAAUUCAUGUUAGUAUCAGAAAAUUAGCAUUAAUAUCUUCACCACCAAACAAUGAGUAAAGUUCAUUUUGAAAAGGAAGAUCCAAGUUAAUAAAAAUAUAGUCUUAUAGAACAAACGUACCUGAAAUUAUAAAUUCUCAAGUUUGUCGGCCACCACAUCUUUCAGCUGACAACAGUCAAGAUCUACAAAAAAGAUAAACCACAUAUUAGACUACUAAAACAAAAUCUAAUGAUAUAACAAAACAAACUAGUGGGAUGGAUACUGUACAAAACCAAACAAAAUCUAAUGACAAUCCCAUCUUCACCUUCCAUGUGUCUUCAUCUGAAUACUGUGCAAAAUUGGGUAAAACUUGCCCCCUCACCAGUUCCUUCAAUGGAAAACCGGUUCCAAAGCUUAUUUUCCCUUAGUAGACUUGGAUCAAAGCUGGCUUGCGACUCCUUAUCAAAGCUUAUUUUCCCUUAAUUGCAUGGACCAAUCAAACAGACCCUUAAUCAAAUAUAACAACAAAGGUAGAAAACCAUGAAUCAAACAGUUGAUAGACAUAUGUAGAAAACAAAACUAGAGACUUAUAUAAUAAUAAAUAAUAGACAAACAAAAGACUUAUCUUCAGGAACUAAUUUGAUGGAGGAAACCAAAUGACCAAUUGCAUGAACAUGAGGGUUUACAUUCGGGUUUAUAAAAGGAUUUCAGAAAAACACGAUUGCCACUCAAAACUCAAAAGGAAAAGGGUUUAGAAAAUGCAGAGAAAUGGUGGUGUAAUGGUUUUGACUUGUAAGUGAGAGUAAACUU
This 7647-nucleotide long non-coding RNA is filed under the name Aquilegia coerulea. RNAcentral describes it as "long non-coding RNA (ACOE_LNC000224)". The record is from RNAcentral. Lineage: Eukaryota; Viridiplantae; Streptophyta; Magnoliopsida; Ranunculales; Ranunculaceae.